Molecule: small nuclear RNA, 100 nt
Organism: Vulpes vulpes (red fox)
Lineage: Eukaryota; Metazoa; Chordata; Mammalia; Carnivora; Canidae
Source: Ensembl
GUGCUCCCUUCAGCACAUAUACUAAAAUUGGAAUGAUACAGAGAUUAGCAUGGCCCUGUGCAAGGAUGACAUGCAAAUUUGUGAAGUGUUCCAUAUUUUU